This 253-nucleotide ribosomal RNA is filed under the name uncultured bacterium. RNAcentral's name for it is "partial 16S ribosomal RNA". It matches the Rfam family "Bacterial small subunit ribosomal RNA", at positions 524 to 776 of the family's 1533-position model. The record is from RNAcentral.
UACAGAGGGUGCAAGCGUUAAUCGGAGUGACUGGGCGUAAAGGGCGCGUAGGCGGUUUUGAAAGUGAGAUGUGAAAGGCCUGGGCUUAACCUAGGAAUGGCAUCUUAGACUAUGAGACUAGAGUGCAGUAGAGGGUGGCGGAAUUUCCGGUGUAGCGGUGAAAUGCGUAGAGAUCGGAAGGAACACCAGUGGCGAAGGCGGCCACCUGGACUGAAACUGACGCUGAGGCGCGAGAGCGUGGGUAGCAAACAGG